UCACCGGGCAUUCCUACGACUGA
Molecule: microRNA, 23 nt
Filed under: Heligmosomoides polygyrus
Lineage: Eukaryota; Metazoa; Nematoda; Chromadorea; Rhabditida; Heligmosomidae
Description: hpo-miR-40e-3p
Gene: hpo-miR-40e-3p
Source: miRBase by way of RNAcentral